GCAGGUUGCUCGAAACACGGCGAAGUGGAGCGGCAAGAAGCUCAGAUUUGAAAUCUCAUCAUUCGUGGUGCGAGUUUGUAAAAUUGCAGGGUUGGGAGUCCUCGGUUUUAGGACGGUGUUGUGCCAAGUCCCCUUGGAAACAGGGGCGCCCACUGAAGGGUUGAAGAAGCCCCCUAGGUGUGCACGAAUCGAACGCCUGUGAGGCCCCUUUCUGAACGAGGUCGAAGUUGUUUUGGGAAAUGGCAGCUUUUUAAGUGGGGUGGGGUAAAAUUUCCCAUUUUAAGGGCUAAAAUUUUUUGGGCGAAAAAAAACCCCAAUAAGGCGAAAAAAAGGUCCCGGGGGAAAGGGAAAAAAAAUGGAAAAAAGCCCCUUUUUGAAAAAAGGGGGGGGGGAAAAAACCCCCCGGGGAAAAAAUUGUUUUGAAAAGGGGGAAAGGGGUAUUUUGGGGCCCCCCAAAAAAGGGGGGGUUUUUCCCCCCAAAGGGGUGGGCCUCCUUGCGGGGGGGGGGGGGCCCCCUUUUGGGGUUUUUUUUUCCGGGGGGGCCCCCCCCCCCCUUUUUUUUUUUUUUUUUUGGGAAGAAAAAGGGGCCCCUUUUUUGGGGAAAAGGGGGGCCCCCCCCCCCGGGGGGGGGUUUUUUUACCCCCCCCCCCUCGGGUAAAAAAAGGCGCCCAACUUUUUUUGGGAACCCCGGGAAAAGGGGCCGUCGCCGGGCAAAAAAAUUUUUUUUUUUUCUCUUGAAAAAAAGGGGGCCCCCGCCCCCGGGGGGGGCCCAAUAAUCCCUCCCCCCCCCUUUUUUAAAAAGUUUCAAAAAAAACAAAAAAAAAAAAAAAAUUUUUUUUUUUUGUUUGUUUCGU
Molecule: ribosomal RNA, 854 nt
Filed under: Pichia barkeri
Lineage: Eukaryota; Fungi; Ascomycota; Pichiomycetes; Pichiales; Pichiaceae
Description: partial 26S ribosomal RNA
Source: RNAcentral